GCAGGCCUCUUAUACCUGGGAAGCUGAAGCCAGCCGGGGAGGGAAGGGUGAGAAGGCGGCGAGUGCAGUGUUGUGCUUCAAUGGAUCUUCAGCAGAACCGAGCAGUUUCCCAGCAGAGGGUCCUGCCCUCUGGACCUGUUGCUGCCCAGGUGGUGGAAAGAAUCCCAGAGGAGGUGAAACGGAAGAAAACGAAUGGUCCUUUAUUCGGGUGGCACUGAGCGUUGGGAUGCGCGGUCCCGCCGGGCGGACUGGCAGCGAUGGCGAGGAUGCAGCGGGGAGAGGUUUGCUGGGGAGGAGAGGAAGCACAGCUCCUGUAAUUUGCAUCCAGAUAUCGGGAAGUGAUGCGUUAUGAGAACAUCUCAUCUACUGCCAGGGAUGAACCUGCAGAAAUCACUUAUACCAACAGAUUUACAGACGCCAUGUGGAAAGUUCCCUGUGUUGUUUCCAUCUGACUACAGCAGCAUCUGCUGCUGCUGAUAAAGCUGCUAGAAUUGGGAAAGGAUCAGCCUCAGCCCGGGCGCUGCCCCCUCGGUGGCAUCGGCCGUCGCUGGGUUGUGGCUCGUGGCAGUGCGCUGGAGCAAUCGUCACCCGCCUCGGGGUGCCUCGGCCACUCCGCAUGACCCUCACUGCAGUGCCCUCAGGCACGUGCUGAGGUCCAUCGCUACCUACCAAGGCCA
This is a non-coding RNA of Phalacrocorax carbo (great cormorant), 677 nucleotides long. NCBI's taxonomy places the organism in Eukaryota, Metazoa, Chordata, Aves, Suliformes, Phalacrocoracidae. The record is from RefSeq and is a predicted model, not a curated record.